This 351-nucleotide ribosomal RNA is filed under the name uncultured Proteiniphilum sp. RNAcentral's name for it is "bacterial SSU rRNA". It matches the Rfam family "Bacterial small subunit ribosomal RNA", at positions 1030 to 1382 of the family's 1533-position model. Lineage: Bacteria; Pseudomonadati; Bacteroidota; Bacteroidia; Bacteroidales; Dysgonomonadaceae. The record is from RNAcentral.
UAUACAAGGUGCUGCAUGGUUGUCGUCAGCUCGUGCCGUGAGGUGUCGGGUUAAGUCCCAUAACGAGCGCAACCCUAUCAUUAGUUGCCAUCAGGUCAAGCUGGGGACUCUAAUGAAACUGCCUACGCAAGUAGUGAGGAAGGUGGGAUGACGUCAAAUCAGCACGGCCCUUACGUCCGGGGCGACACACGUGUUACAAUGGGUGGUACAAAGGGCAGCUACCUGGCGACAGGAUGCUAAUCUCGAAAACCGCUCUCAGUUCGGAUCGGAGUCUGCAACUCGACUCCGUGAAGCUGGAUUCGCUAGUAAUCGCGCAUCAGCCACGGCGCGGUGAAUACGUUCCCGGGCCUU